GACAGAGGGUGCAAACGUUGUUCGGAAUUACUGGGCGUAAAGCGAGUGUAGGCGGUCUUGUAAGUCGGGUGUGAAAGCCCAGGGCUCAACCCUGGAAUUGCCUUCGAUACUGGAUAUCUUGAGUUCGGGAGAGGUGAGUGGAAUGCCGAGUGUAGAGGUGAAAUUCGUAGAUAUUCGGCGGAACACCAGUGGCGAAGGCGACUCACUGGCCCGAUACUGACGCUGAGGCGCGAAAGCGUGGGGAGCAAACAGG
RNAcentral lists this ribosomal RNA (253 nucleotides) under uncultured bacterium. RNAcentral's name for it is "partial 16S ribosomal RNA". It matches the Rfam family "Bacterial small subunit ribosomal RNA", at positions 524 to 776 of the family's 1533-position model. The record is from RNAcentral.